Molecule: long non-coding RNA, 580 nt
Filed under: Zostera marina
Lineage: Eukaryota; Viridiplantae; Streptophyta; Magnoliopsida; Alismatales; Zosteraceae
Description: long non-coding RNA (ZMAR_LNC004927)
Source: RNAcentral
CUAGCAGAUAAUCUAAUCGGGUUAGGAAAUAAAGUAUCCGAUAGAGAGAUUAUAGGGUUUUCUUUAGAUGGGUUGCCGGUGGAAUUUCAAGCAUUCCAAACUUCUGUACGUAAACACCCAAAGAUCGUUGUCAUAUGAUGAUUUUUAUCAUUUUCUUAUUUCUGAAGACUUGGUGAUCAGACAACGCAAUAAAGAAAUGGUGUCAUCAAGUUCGUCGACUUCCUUUGGUGGAGCAUUUAUAGCCCAAAGAGGGAAGUUUAGAGGAGGUAAGAAUUUUUAUAAAAAUAAAGGCAGGGGUGCACGUUUUCAGAAUCAAAGAGGAGGAUUUGGAGGAAGGAGCCAUGGUUCUUUUAGGAAUUCUGAUAGUCAAGCUCAGAAUUUUAUUAAUCCAAAUUUCUUUUAGCACACCUCAUGCUAUUAACUCCAAUAUUUCAUUUCAAAUUUGUAAUAAAAAUGGGCAUACAUCUCGUGUUUGCUCAGAUUGAGGGAAUUAUGCUUAUGUUGCAGGCACCUUAGUCAACUCAUCUUCUCAACAUCCCAUGGAGGAUGUGGCCGAUGAAAAUUGGUGUCUAGACUCGGG